RNAcentral lists this ribosomal RNA (681 nucleotides) under uncultured organism. RNAcentral describes it as "bacterial SSU rRNA". It matches the Rfam family "Bacterial small subunit ribosomal RNA", at positions 424 to 1093 of the family's 1533-position model. The record is from RNAcentral.
UGUAAACUGCUUUAAGUUGGGAAGAACAGACCGGUUUCGAAUAGGGACUUGUUUCGACGGUACCUUUAGAAAAAGCCCCGGCUAACUCCGUGCCAACAUCCGCUGUAACACGGGGGGUGGCAAGCGUUGUCCGGAAUUAUUGGGCGUAAAGGCGCGCAUGCGGGAUGAUCAGUCUGAGGUGAAAUCUUUUGGCUUAACCGAAAGCUUGCCUUGGAUACUGUCAUUCUUGAGUUCGGAAGACGGAAGUGGAAUUCCUGGUGUAGCGCGUGAAAAUGCGUAGAUAUCAGGAAGUACACCCGGUGUCGAAGUCGGCUUCCUUGGUCCGAUACUGACGCUGAGGCGCGAAAGCCUGGGGAGCGAACAGGAUUAGAUACCCUGGUAGUCCACGCUGUAAACGAUGGGUACUAGGUGUUGGUCCUUUUUAGGAUCAGCACUGCAGCUAACGCAUUAAGUACCCCGCCUGGGGAAUACGACCGCAAGGUUGANACUCAAAGGAAUUGACGGGGGCCCGCACAAGCGAUGGAGCAUGUGGUUUAAUUCGAUGCAACGCGAAGAACCUUACCUGGGCUUGAACCGUAGUCGAAAACCCCUUGAAAAGGGGUCCUCCUUCGGGACGGUUAUAGAGGUGCUGCAUGGCUGUCGUCAGCUCGUGCCGUGAGGUGUUGGGUUAAGUCCCGCAAC